CCUACGGGGGGCAGCAGUGAGGAAUAUUGGUCAAUGGGCGCGAGCCUGAACCAGCCAAGUAGCGUGAAGGAAGAAUGCCCUACGGGUUGUAAACUUCUUUUAUAAAGGAAUAAAGUGAGGCAAGUGUGCCUUUUUGUAUGUACUUUAUGAAUAAGGAAAGGCUAACUCCGUGCCAGCAGCCGCGGUAAUACGGAGGAUCCGAGCGUUAUCCGGAUUUAUUGGGUUUAAAGGGAGCGUAGAGGGGUUGUUUAGUCAGUAGUGAAAGUUGGCGGCUCAACCGUCAAAUUGCAAUUGAUACUGGCAGUCUUGAGUACAGUUGAGGUAGGUGGAAUUCGUGGUGUAGCGGUGAAAUGCUUAGAUAUCACGAAGAACUCCAGUUGCGAAGGCAGCUUACUAAACUGCCACUGACGUUGAGGCUCGAAAGUGUGGGUAUCAAACAGGAUUAGAUACCCCUGUAGUC
Molecule: ribosomal RNA, 460 nt
Filed under: uncultured bacterium
Lineage: Bacteria
Description: partial 16S ribosomal RNA
Rfam family: Bacterial small subunit ribosomal RNA
Source: RNAcentral